GUCCGAUAUGGUGUAGUGGUCAGCAUACUCCGCUUUCAGUCGGAAGCCCCGGAGAGAUUCGGGUUCGACUCCCGGGUAUGAUU
RNAcentral lists this transfer RNA (83 nucleotides) under Colletotrichum cereale. Its description in RNAcentral is "tRNA-Glu". The stretch from base 9 to 75 matches the Rfam family "tRNA", at positions 8 to 63 of the family's 71-position model. From Rfam's summary of the family: Transfer RNA (tRNA) molecules are approximately 80 nucleotides in length. Their secondary structure includes four short double-helical elements and three loops (D, anti-codon, and T loops). The record is from RNAcentral. Lineage: Eukaryota; Fungi; Ascomycota; Sordariomycetes; Glomerellales; Glomerellaceae.